Molecule: ribosomal RNA, 468 nt
Filed under: uncultured bacterium
Lineage: Bacteria
Description: partial 16S ribosomal RNA
Rfam family: Bacterial small subunit ribosomal RNA
Source: RNAcentral
GACGAACGCUGGCGGCGUGCUUAACACAUGCAAGUCGAACGGAAAGGCCCUGCUUUUGUGGGGUGCUCGAGUGGCGAACGGGUGAGUAACACGUGAGUAACCUGCCCUUGACUUUGGUAUAACUUCAGGAAACUGGGGCUAAUACCGGAUAGGAUCUCCUGCUGCAUGGUGGGGUUUGGAAAGUUUCGUCGGUUGGGGAUGGACUCGCGGCUUAUCAGCUUGUUGGUGGGGUAGUGGCUUACCAAGGGUUUGACGGGUAGCCGGCCUGAGAGGGUGACCGGCCACAUUGGGACUGAGAUACGGACCAGACUCCUACGGGAGGCAGCAGUGGGGAAUAUUGCACAAUGGGCGGAAGCCUGAUGCAGCAACGCCGCGUGCGGGAUGACGGCCUUCGGGUUGUAAACCGCUUUAGCCUGUGACGAAGAGUGAGUGACGGUAAUGGGUAAAGAAGCACCGGCUAACUACGUG